AUUGAACGCUGGCGGCAGGCCUAACACAUGCAAGUCGAGCGAGCGGCGGACGGGUGAGUAAUGUCUGGGAAACUGCCCGAUGGAGGUGGAUAACCACUGGAAACCGUAGCUAAUACCGCAUACCCUCAGAUGUGCCCAGAUGGGAUUCGCUGGUAGGUGUGGUAACGGCUCACCUAGGCGACGAACCCUAGCUGGUCUGAGAGUAUGACCAGCCACACUGGAACUGAGACACGGUCCAGACUCCUACGGGAGGCAGCAGUGGGGAAUAUUGCACAAUGGGCGCAAGCCUGAUGCAGCCAUGCCGCGUGUGUGAAGAAGGCCUUCGGGUUGUAAAGCACUGUCAGCGGGGAGGCGUUACCCGCAGAAGAAGCACCGGCUAACUCCGUGCCAGCAGCCGCGGUAAUAC
Molecule: ribosomal RNA, 406 nt
Filed under: uncultured bacterium
Lineage: Bacteria
Description: partial 16S ribosomal RNA
Rfam family: Bacterial small subunit ribosomal RNA
Source: RNAcentral